UAGGGAAUCUUCCACAAUGGACGCAAGUCUGAUGGAGCAACGCCGCGUGAGUGAAGAAGGCUUUCGGGUCGUAAAACUCUGUUAUUGAAGAAGAACGUGCGUGACAGUAACUGGUCAUGCAGUGACGGUAUUCAAUCAGAAAGUCACGGCUAACUACGUGCCAGCAGCCGCGGUAAUACGUAGGUGGCAAGCGUUGUCCGGAUUUAUUGGGCGUAAAGCGAGUGCAGGCGGUCUUUUAAGUCUGAUGUGAAAGCCUUCGGCUUAACCGAAGAAGGGCAUCGGAAACUGGGAGACUUGAGUGCAGAAGAGGAGAGUGGAACUCCAUGUGUAGCGGUGAAAUGCGUAGAUAUAUGGAAGAACACCAGUGGCGAAGGCGUCUCUGGUCUGUAACUGACGCUGAGGCUCGAAAGCGUGGGUAGCAAACAGGAUUAGAUACCCUGGUAGU
Molecule: ribosomal RNA, 445 nt
Filed under: uncultured bacterium
Lineage: Bacteria
Description: partial 16S ribosomal RNA
Rfam family: Bacterial small subunit ribosomal RNA
Source: RNAcentral